RNAcentral lists this ribosomal RNA (860 nucleotides) under Escherichia coli. RNAcentral's name for it is "partial 23S ribosomal RNA". It matches the Rfam family "Bacterial large subunit ribosomal RNA", at positions 418 to 1277 of the family's 2925-position model. The record is from RNAcentral. Lineage: Bacteria; Pseudomonadati; Pseudomonadota; Gammaproteobacteria; Enterobacterales; Enterobacteriaceae.
CGGGACACGUGGUAUCCUGUCUGAAUAUGGGGGGACCAUCCUCCAAGGCUAAAUACUCCUGACUGACCGAUAGUGAACCAGUACCGUGAGGGAAAGGCGAAAAGAACCCCGGCGAGGGGAGUGAAAAAGAACCUGAAACCGUGUACGUACAAGCAGUGGGAGCACGCUUAGGCGUGUGACUGCGUACCUUUUGUAUAAUGGGUCAGCGACUUAUAUUCUGUAGCAAGGUUAACCGAAUAGGGGAGCCGAAGGGAAACCGAGUCUUAACUGGGCGUUAAGUUGCAGGGUAUAGACCCGAAACCCGGUGAUCUAGCCAUGGGCAGGUUGAAGGUUGGGUAACACUAACUGGAGGACCGAACCGACUAAUGUUGAAAAAUUAGCGGAUGACUUGUGGCUGGGGGUGAAAGGCCAAUCAAACCGGGAGAUAGCUGGUUCUCCCCGAAAGCUAUUUAGGUAGCGCCUCGUGAAUUCAUCUCCGGGGGUAGAGCACUGUUUCGGCAAGGGGGUCAUCCCGACUUACCAACCCGAUGCAAACUGCGAAUACCGGAGAAUGUUAUCACGGGAGACACACGGCGGGUGCUAACGUCCGUCGUGAAGAGGGAAACAACCCAGACCGCCAGCUAAGGUCCCAAAGUCAUGGUUAAGUGGGAAACGAUGUGGGAAGGCCCAGACAGCCAGGAUGUUGGCUUAGAAGCAGCCAUCAUUUAAAGAAAGCGUAAUAGCUCACUGGUCGAGUCGGCCUGCGCGGAAGAUGUAACGGGGCUAAACCAUGCACCGAAGCUGCGGCAGCGACGCUGAUGCGUUGUUGGGUAGGGGAGCGUUCUGUAAGCCUGUGAAGGUGUGCUGUGAGGCAUGCUGGA